CCUACGGGUGGCAGCAGUGAGGAAUAUUUGUCAAUGGACGCAAGUCUGAACCAGCCACGCCGCGUGCAGGAAGACGGCUCUAUGAGUUGUAAACUGCUGUUGUACGAGGGUAAACGCAGAUACGCGUAUCUGUCUGAAAGGAUCGUACGAAUAAGGAUCGGCUAACUCCGGUCCAGCAGCCGCGUUAAUACGGAGGAUUCAAGCGUUAUCCGGAGUUAUUGGGUUUCAAGGGUGCGUAGGCGGUCUGAUAAGUUAGAGGUGAAAUCCCGAGGCUCAACUUCGGAAUUGCCGCUGAUACUGGUCGGCUAGAGAGUAGUUGCGGUAGGCGGAAUGUAUGGUGUAGCGGUGAAAUGCUUAGAGAUCAUACAGAACACCGAUUGCGAAGGCAGCUUACCAAGCUACUUCUGACGUUGAGGCACGAAAGCGUGGGGAGCAAACAGGAUUAGAUACCCUUGUAGUC
Molecule: ribosomal RNA, 460 nt
Filed under: uncultured bacterium
Lineage: Bacteria
Description: partial 16S ribosomal RNA
Rfam family: Bacterial small subunit ribosomal RNA
Source: RNAcentral